UGGCGGGUGCCUAUACAUGCAAGUCGUGACACGGUAAGUCAGGGAAGCCUUCGGGUGGAACUGGUGGAACGAGCGGCGGAUGGGUGAGUAACACGUAGGUAACCUGCCCUAAAGCGGGGGAUACCAUCUGGAAACAGGUGCUAAUACCGCAUAACCCCAGCAGUCACAUGAGUGCUGGUUGAAAGACGGCUUCGGCUGUCACUUUAGGAUGGACCUGCGGCGUAUUAGCUAGUUGGUGGAGUAACGGUUCACCAAGGCGAUGAUACGUAGCCGACCUGAGAGGGUAAUCGGCCACAUUGGGACUGAGACACGGCCCAAACUCCUACGGGAGGCAGCAGUAGGGAAUCUUCCACAAUGGACGCAAGUCUGAUGGAGCAACGCCGCGUGGAUGAAGAAGGUCUUCGGAUCGUAAAAUCCUGUUGUUGAAGAAGAACGGUUGUGAGAGUAACUGCUCAUAGCGUGACGGUAAUCAACCAGAAAGUCACGGCUAACUACGUGCCAGCAGCCGCGGUAAUACGUAGGUGGCAAGCGUUGUCCGGAUUUAUUGGGCGUAAAGGGAGCGCAGGCGGUCUUUUAAGUCUGAAUGUGAAAGCCCUCAGCUUAACUGAGGAAGAGCAUCGGAAACUGAAAGACUUGAGUGCAGAAGAGGAGAGUGGAACUCCAUGUGUAGCGGUGAAAUGCGUAGAUAUAUGGAAGAACACCAGUGGCGAAGGCGGCUCUCUGGUCUGUUACUGACGCUGAGGCUCGAAAGCAUGGGUAGCGAACAGGAUUAGAUACCCUGGUAGUCCAUGCCGUAAACGAUGAGUGCUAAGUGUUGGGAGGUUUCCGCCUCUCAGUGCUGCAGCUAACGCAUUAAGCACUCCGCCUGGGGAGUACGACCGCAAGGUUGAAACUCAAAGGAAUUGACGGGGGCCCGCACAAGCGGUGGAGCAUGUGGUUUAAUUCGAAGCAACGCGAAGAACCUUACCAGGUCUUGACAUCUCCUGCAAGCCUAGAGAUUAGGGGUUCCUUUCGGGGACAGGAAGACAGGUGGUGCAUGGGUUGUCGUCAGCUCGUGUCGUGAGAUGUGGGUUAGUCCCGCACGAGCGCACCUUGUUACUAGUGCAGCAUGAGUGGCACUCCUAGUGAGACUGCGUGACAACCCGAGGGAGGUGGGACGACGUCCAUCAUCAUGGCCCCAUAUGACUGGCUACCACGUGCUACAUUGAUGGGUACA
This 1216-nucleotide ribosomal RNA is filed under the name Lactobacillus sp. SF6D. RNAcentral's name for it is "bacterial SSU rRNA". It matches the Rfam family "Bacterial small subunit ribosomal RNA", at positions 37 to 1241 of the family's 1533-position model. The record is from RNAcentral. Lineage: Bacteria; Bacillati; Bacillota; Bacilli; Lactobacillales; Lactobacillaceae.